RNAcentral lists this ribosomal RNA (301 nucleotides) under uncultured bacterium. RNAcentral's name for it is "partial 16S ribosomal RNA". It matches the Rfam family "Bacterial small subunit ribosomal RNA", at positions 509 to 809 of the family's 1533-position model. The record is from RNAcentral.
CAGUAGCCACGGUAAUACGAAGGGGGCUAGCGUUGUUCGGAAUUACUGGGCGUAAAGCGCACGUAGGCGGAUAUUUAAGUCAGGGGUGAAAUCCCGCAGCUCAACUGCGGAACUGCCUUUGAUACUGGGUAUCUUGAGUCCGGGAGAGGUGAGUGGAACUGCGAGUGUAGAGGUGAAAUUCGUAGAUAUUCGCAAGAACACCAGUGGCGAAGGCGGCUCACUGGCCCGGUACUGACGCUCAUGCACGAAAGCGUGGGGAGCAAACAGGAUUAGAUACCCCUGUAGUCCCUGUCUCUUAUAA